AGUGAACGCUGGCGGUAGGCCUAACACAUGCCAGUCGAACGGCAGCACAGUAAGAGCUUGCUCUUACGGGUGGCGAGUGGCGGACGGGUGAGGAAUACAGCGGAAUCUACUUUUUCGUGGGGGAUAACGUAGGGAAACUUACGCUAAUACCGCAUACGACCUACGGGUGAAAGCAGGGGAGCUUCGGACCUUGCGCGAAUGAAUGAGCCGAUGUCGGAUUAGCUAGUUGGCGGGGUAAAGGCCCACCAAGGCGACGAUCCGUAGCUGGUCUGAGAGGAUGGUCAGCCAAACUGGAACUGAGACACGGUCCAGACCCCUACGGGAGGAGGCAGUGGGGAAUAUUGGACAAUGGGCGAAAGCCUGAUCCAGCCAUACCGCGUGGGUGAAGAAGGCCUUCGGGUUGUAAAGCCUUUUUGUUGGGAAAGAAAAGCAUCAGGUUAAUACCCCGCUGUUCUGACGGUACCCAAAGAAUAAGCACCGGCUAACUUCGUG
RNAcentral lists this ribosomal RNA (492 nucleotides) under uncultured bacterium. RNAcentral describes it as "partial 16S ribosomal RNA". It matches the Rfam family "Bacterial small subunit ribosomal RNA", at positions 29 to 507 of the family's 1533-position model. The record is from RNAcentral.